RNAcentral lists this ribosomal RNA (497 nucleotides) under uncultured bacterium. RNAcentral's name for it is "partial 16S ribosomal RNA". It matches the Rfam family "Bacterial small subunit ribosomal RNA", at positions 28 to 507 of the family's 1533-position model. The record is from RNAcentral.
GAUGAACGCUGGCGGCGUGCCUAAUACAUGCAAGUCGAGCGAACAGAUGAGGAGCUUGCUCCUCUGACGUUAGCGGCGGACGGGUGAGUAACACGUGGAUAACCUACCUAUAAGACUGGGAUAACUUCGGGAAACCGGAGCUAAUACCGGAUAAUAUAUUGAACCGCAUGGUUCAAUAGUGAAAGUCGGUUUUGCUGUCACUUAUAGAUGGAUCCGCGCCGCAUUAGCUAGUUGGUAAGGUAACGGCUUACCAAGGCAACGAUGCGUAGACGACCUGAGAGGGUGAUAGGCCACACUGGAACUGAGACACGGUCCAGACUCCUACGGGAGGCAGCAGUAGGGAAUCUUCCGCAGAGGGCGAAAGCCUGACGGAGCAACGCCGCGUGAGUGAUGAAGGUCUUCGGAUCGUAAAACUCUGUUAUUAGGGAAGAACAAAUGUGUAAGUAACUAUGCACGUCUUGACGGUACCUAAUCAGAAAGCCACGGCUAACUACGUG